UGCUUUAUUCUGCUUGAAGAUGCACAAACCUGAUGGGCAGUGGAACACUUGGUUGACAUAAUGUGGUAUAGCUGCACUGUGAAUCAUUCAGGUGGAUACUGAGAAAUCCCAGGAAUUCCCUGUGGGAAUGUGGCACUGAGAAAAUGAGAAGGCCCUCUUUGCUUCCCAGUCAAACUUGUGCCCAAAGUGAGGACAAAGUAGAUUGUUUAUCUAAAAUGCCUCCAACUGGCUGUGACUGAAAUGUACAAAGGUUGUUCUUGUUCCUGGUGGUGCCCAAAAAUGGGCCAGGUGUUUUGCAAACAGAAGAAAGUUACAAUUGAAGAUAUGGGAGAGGGAGGGAAGGGAUUCAAGACAGCAUGUAUUUAGUGGGUGCACAGUCUUCACAGAAAACUUCAGCCCUUUCUGAUAACUUUAUACACUAAAAGAAGCAUUUUUCUUUCAGAGUACUGAAAACCUUCCUGCUCCUCCUGCAGAAGAAACAGAAUAUACUGCAUUAAGCCAGCCGCUGUCCCAUUACCUGAAGGAGAUUAAUACCAAUGGGGCUAUUUCCCAUAUACAAGGAGAGACUGCAAGAUGAGAGGAGCAAAAGAAGUUGCAUGUCCAGAGAACCUGCAGGAGUCUCGAGCUUUAGAACUUCCUGCAAGUCUGGUUACACCAAAUGGAGAUUGAUGAGAAAACACAUUUUGAAAUUAUUAAAGCUCCUUCUUCAAGAAAAGUGCAUUCCUCUGGUGUUGGACAUUCUAGGACAUCAAGCUCCAGGAGGUGAAUGGUUAAUUACCCUGGUGAUGGGUGCUAUUUGGAGGCAUAAUACUGUUGUAAUAAGAAUGUACCAUGGUUCACCUUAA
Molecule: long non-coding RNA, 845 nt
Filed under: Coturnix japonica (Japanese quail)
Lineage: Eukaryota; Metazoa; Chordata; Aves; Galliformes; Phasianidae
Description: lncRNA (ENSCJPG00005018040.1)
Source: RNAcentral